RNAcentral lists this ribosomal RNA (406 nucleotides) under uncultured bacterium. RNAcentral's name for it is "partial 16S ribosomal RNA". It matches the Rfam family "Bacterial small subunit ribosomal RNA", at positions 29 to 526 of the family's 1533-position model. The record is from RNAcentral.
AUUGAACGCUGGCGGCAGGCUUAACACAUGCAAGUCGAGCGAGUGGCGGACGGGUGAGUAAUGUCUGGGAAACUGCCUGAUGGAGGGGGAUAACUACUGGAAAAGGUAGCUAAUACCGCAUACCAUCGGAUGUGCCCAGAUGGGAUUAGCUAGUAGGGGGGGUAAAGGCUCACCUAGGCGACGAUCCCUAGCUGGUCUGAGAGGAGGACCAGCAAAACUGGAACUGAAACACGGUCCAGACUCCUACGGGGGGAAGCAGGGGGGAAUAUUGCACAAUGGGAGCAAGCCUGAUGCAGCCAUGCCGCGUGUAUGAGGAAGGCCUUCGGGUUGUAAAGCACUUUCAGCGAGGAGGCGUUACUCGCAGAAAAAGCACCGGCUAACUCCGUGCCAGCAGCCGCGGUAAUAC